CUUUUUUUUUGCUUUUCUGUGUGUGUUUUUUUUAAACAUUGAUUUCUCAAUCCUUGUUGUAUUUGGAAGGAAGACUGUUUCCAUGCUUUAGUUUUUCCUUAUUACAUCAUAGUAGCAGUAUGUUCAUGAAAUUUUGAAUCGAAAACUUUUAAGACUAUUGCUAUUACUAUUCCUCAUGAAGUCACUGUGUUUGAGCCUCUGAGGCAUUGCUUUUACUAUUUUUUCACCUAAUUUAUUGAGUUUGAUCCAAACUUGUUACUGCGGAACUUGGUUUUUAGUUGUUUUAUGGUGUGUAAUUAAUUACUAUUGAUGCAGGAACGUUAUCCAUGGAAGCGAUUCUGUUGAAAGUGCAACCAAGGAAAUUGCAUUGUGGUUCCCUGAGGGCCCUGCCAACUGGCAAAGCAGCCUCCACUCUUGGAUCUACGAGUAAAGAUAUAAACUUCACGUUGAUUGUGAAAUUCGCCUAUUUUUAUCCAUUGCUGGAACUUCAUUAGAGUUUUGUGCGUUGGUUAGGAUUUCCAGUUAUGUUGUUUCUGUUGAAACAUAUUCAGUCUGAUAAAUCCAAUCCGAACCUAGUUUUGCUUUUUCUUGUUGUUCAUUAAUGGUUUUGCUUUAAUGUUAUUGAUUUGGUUACGCAUAAAUUAUACUGUUAUCAUCUUAAGUACACAGUUUUCUGAAUAAAUUGGCAGUAACUAAAAUCUGUGUUGAUGUUCUAUUAUAUAAUUUUAGUCGAAAUUAAAGGGUUUACAUUUAACAGGAAAAUAUAUUAAUAUGCAUAAUGCGACUUUUCACAUUACUUUUAACUUUUUCAUAAUGUCCAAAUCACUGUCACUAUUAAUUAACCAUUGGUUUCAUCAAAAGUUUUUGUUCAUAUAGUUUGUCUUAGAAUUAUGGGUUCUACAUAACUUUUUUGAAACGAAGUUGGUAAUUACAAGCCAGUUUAUUUAAAAACUUAUUCCCAACUUCCGAUGUCACAUAGGUGAAGUCAUAAAGAAGUAUUGAUUCUUGGUUUUUUAGAAAAGGAUCAAUAUGUGUUCCUUCCUUUAUUAAUGGUAGGUAUGGAUUGAAAUAGGUUAGUUGUAUCUGUUUGGUAUGUUAUUCUUUUAGUGUUAUUUUUAAAUCUUAUAAAGACCCAUCUAACAGUAAGACCUUUAAAUACCAUAUCAUUCAAAAGGCUACAAAAGAACCGAACCACCAAAAUCAUUGAGCCACCUUUAAUGUGAACCUACCACUAAUAAAAAUUAAUUUGGUUUGGUUUGGUUUUGUUUUGUUAAAACUUUACUCACGAAAUCCAAACCAAAUUAAAUAUAAAAGUUGGUUGUUAUGUUAAAAAAUUUACAAUAAAUUAAAUUUAAUACAAACACUAGAUACCUUAUACAACUAAUAAAAUACUUAGUGUGUUCGAACGAGAUAAUUUAUGUAAAGCCGAUAUAAUUAUUUUUCCAUGCAACUUAGAAAAAAUACUAUUCAACUUAUAUCAUUUGUUAAUACAUUUGGAAAAUUAUAAGCAAUGGAAAAUUAAGACUUGUAAAAUAUGACUACAUAAUUUUCUCUUUUAUUUGUUAUAUUUUAAAAUUAAAGUGCACUAGUAAAUAUUUAAGCAUAAUAGUAGAGACAAAAUUUAUUAAAUUUUCAUCUUUUUUGUGAAACUUUUUUUGUAUAUGACAGGAUUUUUGAAAUUUUCAUUUGCAGAACUUGUUCUAGUUCUAUGAUUGUUUAAUCACAUAAGCAAUUAAUUGUCUCAUGAAUAAUAGUUAUUUUAAAAAAUUUAUUAAUAUGAAACUUGUCUCGUGUAUUAUUGUUCAAUUUUACCACCGGCAACUUGUCUGAUAUAUCAUUUAUAAAUUGUACACUCAAAUAACUUUUUUAGUGACUCAUUUUCAAAAAUAUAACAUGAAGAAAUUGAAAUGGGAAAAAAAAUUAUAUUUAGCGUGUUAUGAUUGUUUUUAUUUUUAUGUUGAUGAUAUUAAAAAAAAUAUUAAUUUUAAUUAAUUAAUUAAUGAUAAAUAUUUAUCACUAGUAUAAAUUAUUUGUUCGAACGUAGGGAUGAAAAGAGGCUAGGCACUAUUAGGGACAUGUGGUCUGACCUACUUAUGGUUUGGCCUGACCUGGUCUAUUUAAUAAAAAGGUCAGACUUGUUUUUAAAGUCUAUUUAUUUAAAUAGGUCAGGCUCAGGCUUAUAAAAAAGCCUAUUAGGUCUGACAGGCCGACAUAUAUAUAUUUUAUUAUUUAUUAUUUAUUAAUAUUAUUUAUUAUUAUUAUUAUUAUUAUAUUAAUAAUAUUAUUUCCUAUUUUAAAUUCUAUCAAUUAAGCAAUCACUCAUUAAUCAAUCACUCAGUAGUGGUUCCAUAUUUGUUUAAGAGGUAAUAAUGAGUGUGUUUGUUUCAGAAAGAAAAAAAAACUAUUAUUUGACACCAAAAAUUAUUUUUUAGGGUUUAAAGGAUGUUUGUUUCAGAUUUUUUAAAAAUUUUGUUAGAAAAAUUAUUUUUUGUUUAACAUAUAUAGAUAUGUACGUUGAUAUUGGUAUGUGGAGAGUAUCAUGUGGUAUGAGUAGAGUAUUGAAAUAUUUUAUUGUGAAUAAGACUUUUAAAUAGGCUUUCAGGUCAGACCAAAUUUUUAAAAAGGUCAGGCCAUGCCGGAAAAAAAGUCUAUGAUAGGCCGUAGGCCAGACUUAGGCCUAAAAAAUAAAUCGUAGGCCAGACUCAGGUCUUUCAAAGCUUGAUAUGGCAUGACCAUUCCCACCCCUACUCGAACGACUUCUUUAAGAGUUCAUUUCAAAAAAAAAAAAAAAAAACUAUAGCUAUACACCCUGAGUGAUCUCCACACGCCCCGUGAGAUCCUCCUAACAUAGCUCCAGUCAAGCAUUCUCAUCUCAUGAAGUCACUGUGUUUGAGCCUCUGAGGCAUUGCUUUUACUAUUUUUUCACCUAAUUUAUUGAGUUUGAUCCAAACUUGUUACUGCGGAACUUGGUUUUUAGUUGUUUUAUGGUGUGUAAUUAAUUACUAUUGAUGCAGGAACGUUAUCCAUGGAAGCGAUUCUGUUGAAAGUGCAACCAAGGAAAUUGCAUUGUGGUUCCCUGAGGGCCCUGCCAACUGGCAAAGCAGCCUCCACUCUUGGAUCUACGAGUAAAGAUAUAAACUUCACGUUGAUUGUGAAAUUCGCCUAUUUUUAUCCAUUGCUGGAACUUCAUUAGAGUUUUGUGCGUUGGUUAGGAUUUCCAGUUAUGUUGUUUCUGUUGAAACAUAUUCAGUCUGAUAAAUCCAAUCCGAACCUAGUUUUGCUUUUUCUUGUUGUUCAUUAAUGGUUUUGCUUUAAUGUUAUUGAUUUGGUUACGCAUAAAUUAUACUGUUAUCAUCUUAAGUACACAGUUUUCUGAAUAAAUUGGCAGUAACUAAAAUCUGUGUUGAUGUUCUAUUAUAUAAUUUUAGUCGAAAUUAAAGGGUUUACAUUUAACAGGAA
Molecule: long non-coding RNA, 3459 nt
Filed under: Cicer arietinum (chickpea)
Lineage: Eukaryota; Viridiplantae; Streptophyta; Magnoliopsida; Fabales; Fabaceae
Description: long non-coding RNA (CARI_LNC003224)
Source: RNAcentral